GCGGUUAUACAAAAUAUAUAAAUAAAUUUUAUUAGUUUAUAGUUAAAUGAUGUUUUAAAAAUAAUAAUUUAAUUUUUUAGGUUAAAUUUUAAAUUAAUUAAUUUUUUAUAUUAUAAUUUUGAAGCUAUUAAAUUUUAUUAAUAAACUAGGAUUAGAUACCCUAUUAUUUAAAAUGUAAAUUUUAAAAACUAAAGUAGUAAUAGUUAUAUUCUUGAAACUUAAAAAAUUUGGCGGUAUUUUAGUCUUUUUAGAGGAAUCUGUUCCGUAAUUGAUAAUCCACGUUAUAUUUUACAUAAUUUUAUUUAGUUUGUAUAUCGUCGUUAUAAGAAUAUUUUAUAAGAAUAUAAAAUUUUCUAAAAUUUUUAUUAAAAUUUAUUUCAGAUCAAGGUGCAGCAAUAAUUAUGAGGAAAUGGAUUACAAUAAAUAUAUUUAAAUGGAUAUUAAUAUGAAAUUAUUAAUUGAAAGUGGAUUUAAUAGUAAAUUGAAUAAUAUUAUUUAAUUGAUUUUAGCUCUAAAAUAUGUACACAUCGCCCGUCGCUCUCAUUAUUAAUUUGAGAUAAGUCGUAACAUAGUAGAUGUACUGGAAAGUGUAUCUAGAAUGA
Molecule: ribosomal RNA, 602 nt
Filed under: Stenosialis australiensis
Lineage: Eukaryota; Metazoa; Arthropoda; Insecta; Megaloptera; Sialidae
Description: 12S ribosomal RNA
Source: RNAcentral